AGCCAGCAGCCGCGGUAAUACAGAGGUCCCAAGCGUUGUUCGGAUUCACUGGGCGUAAAGGGUGCGUAGGUGGCCAGGUAAGUUUGGUGUGAAAGCUCGGAGCUUAACUUCGAAAAGGCAUUGAAUACUAUCUGGCUGGAGGGUCGGAGGGGAGACUGGAAUUCUCGGUGUAGCAGUGAAAUGCGUAGAUAUCGAGAGGAACACCGGUGGCGAAGGCGAGUCUCUGGACGACACCUGACACUGAGGCACGAAAGCUAGGGGAGCAAACAGGAUUAGAUACCCUGGUAGUCCUAGCUGUAAACGGUGCUUGCUUGCUGUGAGAGGAAUCGACCCCUUUCGUGGCGGAGCUAACGCGAUAAGCAAGCCGCCUGGGGAGUACGGUCGCAAGAUUAAAACUCAAAGGAAUUGACGGGGGCCCGCACAAGGC
This 427-nucleotide ribosomal RNA is filed under the name uncultured bacterium. RNAcentral describes it as "bacterial SSU rRNA". It matches the Rfam family "Bacterial small subunit ribosomal RNA", at positions 506 to 931 of the family's 1533-position model. The record is from RNAcentral.